GAGAGUUUGCCCGAGGCGGAUGAAUACACGGAAUCAGCUGAUUGUGUUUACUCUCGAGAAUUUGGGAAACUUCGACCCGUGUUUACCACAACAUGGUGUCAGAAAGAACAGCAUAAUGAGACGAUCCAUCCAAGAGUGAAUCACCCUUAUUGACUGACGAAAAUAGAC
This is a non-coding RNA of Penaeus vannamei (Pacific white shrimp), 168 nucleotides long. NCBI's taxonomy places the organism in Eukaryota, Metazoa, Arthropoda, Malacostraca, Decapoda, Penaeidae. The record is from RefSeq and is a predicted model, not a curated record.